GCCUCCGUAGCUCAACGGAUAGAGCAGCGAGCUUCUACCUCGUCGGUUUGCGGGUUCGAAUCCUGCCGGAGGCU
Molecule: transfer RNA, 74 nt
Filed under: Mycobacterium sp. OAS707
Lineage: Bacteria; Bacillati; Actinomycetota; Actinomycetes; Mycobacteriales; Mycobacteriaceae
Also listed under: 1 other name
Description: tRNA-Arg
Rfam family: tRNA
About the family: Transfer RNA (tRNA) molecules are approximately 80 nucleotides in length. Their secondary structure includes four short double-helical elements and three loops (D, anti-codon, and T loops).
Source: RNAcentral